This 253-nucleotide ribosomal RNA is filed under the name uncultured bacterium. RNAcentral's name for it is "partial 16S ribosomal RNA". It matches the Rfam family "Bacterial small subunit ribosomal RNA", at positions 524 to 776 of the family's 1533-position model. The record is from RNAcentral.
UACAGAGGCCUCAAGCGUUAGGCGGAAUCACUGGGCUUAAAGCGUGUGUAGGCGGGUCGUUAAGUACCUUGUGAAAUCCCACGGCUUAACUGUGGAACGGCUUGGUAUACUGGCGAUCUUGAGCCACUUAGGGGCUACCGGAACAGAUGGUGGAGCGGUGAAAUGCGUAGAUAUCUGGAGGAACACCGGUGGCGAAGGCGGCAUCCUGGACCAAUAUUGACGCUGAGGAGCGAAAGCCAGGGGAGCAAACGGG